Homo sapiens (human) is the source of this 6438-nucleotide long non-coding RNA. RefSeq lists it as uncharacterized. The record is from RefSeq and is a predicted model, not a curated record. Lineage: Eukaryota; Metazoa; Chordata; Mammalia; Primates; Hominidae. The transcript is spliced from 9 exons.
GGGAGGCAGGCAACACCAGCCCUCAGGCUACACUCUCCAUUUGGAGCAGAGCUUCUUCGGCAGCCCCAGGUCUCCCGGGAUCUUCCUCGGUGUCCUGCGGAGGCUCUGGCUCCAGCGUGGGCUCCAGCGCAGGCUGGGCUUCCGGCUGGGCUUCAGCGCUCCGGCCAGGCCCAAGGCGAGGCGGCUUGACCGGGGUGGGCGGUGGCGCUGCAGGGCCUUUCCGGCCCGAAAGGGCCCUUCGGAGGCUCUGUACCUUCUGCAAUCCGGUGCGCCGCAGCCGCUGGGCCCUGGACUCCACCGGCUCCUCGUCCGAGCUCUCUCCAACUUCGGCCUCCAGCUGCUCUGGGCCCAGCUCGGACUGGUCCGCCGGGCCCAAGGGCUCUGGUGCCUUCUGGAAAGCGCUGGCUGGGACUUCACCCUCCUCCUGCAUGUGACGGACACAGCACUGAUCCUGGCAGCUCCUUACCCCCAGCAGCCCGAAACUCACUCCUUAAUUACACAAGGGAAACCUUUUACCUCCGCAGCCAGAGUCUGGGGGGAAAGGCAGGCGUGGGAAGAUGGGUUCUCUACCUGGCCAGUGCCAUGUUGCCUGUUUCUUUACUGUAACUGUGGUGACAAAGAAAAGGGAAGAUGGAGCCUCCAUGUUGAACAUACCUGGCCCCCAGCACUAACUCCCUCUCUGGAUAUCUGGAACAAGGAGGACCUUAAACUUAACAAUAAAGCCAAUGAUGGUUCUACCAGUCUCCCCAAAGCCUCAAGUUUAAAAGCCAUAUGAACUGGCUGAUAGUGGAAAAUGGAAGCCAUGAGGAAAUCAGAUUAGAGUACUACCUGGUGAAGCCUGGAGGACCUACCAAGAAAAGCAAACUUGGAUCUUUGCAAGGUUAGAAGAACGAAUGGGAUCCAAGAAAAAGACUGGUCAUAUUCAACGGCUAAGAGCGUUGGAGAAGGCCUGUGGAGUCUCAGCAGGUCAGGUCCAUGACUCAUGAGUAGACACCUGUGUUUCUACUGCCUGGUGCCAUAAUCAUAAACAAGGAAGAAACUGAGGACAGGAGGGGCCAAACAAGUUACAGUUUCAUCCCUCCAGAGAGCCAACAGAGUAUUUUGCACGAAGUUGAAGCUAAACAGGUAUUAUGUCCUAUCUCUGGACUGAAUGACUAGAUGCUACUCAGCUUCUGAACUAGAGGAAGCCUGGGACCUUGACCGCACUAAUGCUGAUGACAGCGGAUUUGCAAGUGGCUAGAGGUACCAGAUUUAGCAAAUCAAAAUAUAGGACGUCAAGUUAAAUUUAAGUGUAAGAUAAGCUACGAAUACCUUUUCUAGUAUUAGUACGUCCCAUGCAAUAUACUAGAAAUGUUAUUCGUUAUUUAUGUUAAAUUUAAUUUUAUUAGGGCAUCCUAUAUUUUACCUGUCAAUCCAACCCAUGACCUAGGCAGACACUGUAGAAAAACAAAAGGAGAAUUAAGGAGAUAAAUGAAACACAGGGUGAGCUGAAAAGAGGUGCUCUGUGAAUUUGAGGGUCCAGUAGGAGCUGACUUGUAGGUACUUGGUCUGUUUUGAUGCCCACAACAACCUUGGGGAAGGGGCGGAAUAGCAGAGGGGUAAGCUCUCUGCCCCCCACCAGGGUUCUGCAGGACGCCAGGGCUUUUAUCAGCACCCCUAUGUUCACAUCCUGGCUGCACCCUCCUUGGUUGUAUAUACUCUGGAUAAUUCACUUAAUUUAAAUCUUGCUGCUUUUAUAAAAUUGAUAAAAAGUUAAUAGUGACACUGAUCACACUGAUGUCCCUCAAUGAAUUAUCAAUAUGUUUUUUCUUCCCACCUAUAUUCUUUAUUGAACUCUGUUAUUUUUGAUCCUGGUCUAGAGUAAGCAUUAUGACCAUGCAAGAGUGAAAUGAAAUUUUUAAAAAUAAUUUUUUAAUGUUUUCUGAAUGCUGGGUGUUUUCAAUGAUCAUGCAUGACUGGCAGCAAAGAGGAACGAGGAUGGAUUCGAUAAGGUGCAACAAGUCCUGAACACACACAGAGAACUGGCUGUGAAUCCUGUUUCUGCCACUCACCACUUACUUGUUGGGUAACCUUAGCCACUUCAUUUAUCCUCUCUGAUCUUCAGGCCUACCUCAUGUCCUCCCCAAAGAGAUGGUGGGUAAGAGAGAACUUUGCAAAAGGCUGCCAGAGCAUAAAUAGGUCUUAUGACUAUGUAGCAGAAAAAUGGGACCUCAAAGAGGAGAGAGACCUGCAAAGCGGGGGACUGCUGCCAUUCUUUGAGUGGUGGCUCAAAAUAUUUCCCCAAACUGUCCCCAUCUGGUCAGGAUGCCCCACAGCCUUUUACUAAGAUGGUGUCUUCAUCUAGCCUCAGCCCAGCUGCAGUACCUUUCUGGAACUCCCACCACUGAUGCUCAAGAGGAGAGUGUAAGUUCAAGAGGGUUAAGCUCUCUACCCACCCGCUCAUCCACAGUCCCUCAGACAAGCAUGCAGAUACAUGCUUUGUUUGGUUGGUUGGUUGGUUGGUCGGUCGGUUGGUUUUGUUUUGAGACAGGGUCUUGCUCUGUUGCUCAGCUGGAGUGCAGUGGCGCAGUCACAGCUCACUGCAGCCUCGAUCUCCCAGGCUCAAGUGGUCCUCCCACCUCAGUCUCCCAAGUAGCCAGGACUACAGGCACAUGCCACCACACCUGGCUAAUUUUUCAGUUUUUUGUAGAGAUGGGGUCUUACUAUGUUGCUCAGUCUGGUCUUUAACUCCUGGGCUCAAGCAAUCCUCCUACUUUGGCCUCCCAAAGUGCUGGGAUUACAGGGGUGAGCCACCGUACCCAGCCCAAGAAUGCUUUUAGAUUGUACUCUCUAAAAAUUAAUGUUUGUUCCUGGGAGUAAUGCAUGAGCUAAUAUAACAAGUCUAUUAAUCAAAUGAACUGACAUAAUUCCUGCUAACACAUGUAGGAAUAUUGAAAAGGAAAUUCAGCCAGGAAGCUCUAAAUCCACAACAAAGUGCAAGAUACUAUAUUAUCACAUUGAAAAACACAAUCCAGCCACCUGAAACAAGCAGUGUGACCCAAAAGCCAUUUUCCUAAAUUUGUUGAAGGGUUUCUCCAGCCCUGCACUGUCCAAUAUGAUAGCCACUGGCCACAUGUGGCUGUUUAGUUUUAAAUUUUAAUGAAUUAGAAUUAAAUAAAAUGUAAAACUUAAUCCUCAGCUACAUUAUCCACAUUUCAAGUGCUUAACAGACAUAUGUGGCAAGUGGCUACCAUAUUGGAUGCAUCCCUCUCCUCAGUACAAUCCCACAGGGUGAGUGUGGUCCUCAAACUCCUUCCCAAACUUCCAAGUCACCAAGUAAACACCACAGGCUUCUCUGAGAGAUGAGAAGAAAAAAAUAAGGAAAUCUUUCAUUUAGCCAAAAAGCCAUGUCUUGACAAGAAAAGAUCAAUAUAAAUAAAAUUACAGGGCAAUUAUUGGAGAAGUGAUCUCUUCCAUCAGCAUUUGGACCAUUUAAAGUAGAUACAAAAGGAUAUAGAAGACUAGUUUCCGAAACAGCCCCAUGCUUUAGGACCUGGAUCGGGACUUUCAAAAAUAUAUACUUUUUUUUUAACUUUUAUUUUAAGUUCAGGGAUACAAGUGCAGGUUUGUUACAAAGGUAAAUUUGUGUCUGGGGGGUUUGUUGUACAGAUUAUUUCAUUACCCAGGUAUUAAGCCUAGUACCCAUUAGUUAUUUUUCCUGAUCUCCUCCCUCCUCCAACCUUCCACUCUCUGAAAGGCCCCAAUGUCUGCUGUUCCCCUCUAUGUGUUCAUAUGUUCUUAUCAUUUAGCUCCCACUUAUUAGUUAGAACAUGCAGUAUUUGGUUUUUGUAUCCUUAGGAUACGAAAGGAUAAUGGCCUCCAGCUCCAUCCAUGUCCCUGCAAAGGACAUCAUCUUAUUCUUUUUUAGGGCUGCAUAGUAUUCCGUGGUGUAUAUACCUUUUAAUGUAGAUUACCUUGAUUAUGGGAACAAUGUUGUUACAGAUUUUAUCGUUUUUGAGAAAGUAUAAUGAAAAUUGUGUCUAACAAAGUAAUAAGAUUCCUUUCUGUCUAUAUAGUGAAAAUGCUCAGGAUGUUCACUGCAGCCUGCCUCACCCUGGAAAAGAGAUGUGAGGAUAAUGAGAAAGAAGAGUAUGUUCAGUGCGGAGCAUGCAAAUUUGCAUGAAAACUUCCCAGGCAAAGCAGGAAAGAAACCAGACCUCUUUUCUGCACAAUAAUGGGGCCCACUAACUCUGGGGAAAAGAGUAAUCAGCAAAUGCCUUUCCUUUCUCCUGCUGAUGUUUUGCCCGUACUCAGACCCCUUGACUUCUUAGCUUCUACCCAAAGUGAGCUUGUCAUCAAAGUUCUCCAAAAAUCUGCAGUGUUCUCUUGAGCAAAUCUGCCUGCUCAAAUUUUCCUAUACAGUUCAAUACACUGAUUGAGGCCAGGCGCGGUGGCUCACACCUGUAAUCCCAGCACUUCGGGAGGCCAGACGGGUGGAUCACGAGCUUCCAAGACUAUAGCGCUCUGAUGCAUUGAGAUGACAGCAAGCGGCAUUUUUCAGUCCUGUUACCCAUAUGGCUGCUACCACUGCAUCCUGUUAAAUAAUGUCUUCAACCCAAGAAACCUGCUUCCUAGGGAAGUUUCUCUCUCUCUGCAUUUGUUCCCACUAGAGAAUGACCAUCACCAGAUUCCUGAACUGAAAAUGCUGUUGACACUUUGGAAACUCGGGCCUCUAUUAAUAGGGUGACCAACUAUCCUGGUUUACCUUGAGUACAGGAUUUUCAAUGCUAAAACCAGAAAAACCAGGAUGGUUGGUCAUCUGCCUCAGACCUAAUAAAUACCAGUCAAUAAUUCAGCCAUGAGCUUUCUUAAGACACUGUCUUUUCUUGACUGUUGAAUAGUCUAGGACUUGAGUAGCAGCUCUUUCUGCUACUGGACACUUGUUUUACUACCCUAUUUCUCUAGAUUUUAUUUUGUGGCUAAUAAUUAAGACAUAAAAUCAUGGGUUCUGGUUAUGCCAAAGCACUCACUCUUCAAAAGUUUCCAUCCAGAGUUGGAUAAUCCCACACAGAAGGUGUUCUUUCAACAGACCAGCAUCCAAUAGACCCAAUGCAGCAUUUUUCUUCCUGGUUCCACAUUAAUACAUCCUAUCUCUGCUAUGCUUAGGUCCCUGAUUUAUAAAUAUUUCAGACAUAUUUUCUCAGGACACAGGGAGUACUUAAACUUCCACAUAGCAGAGAUACGACAUACAAUAAGCUGUUAUCUGGAAACUCCUAGUGAUGCUUUGAGUACUUUACAGUAAUCUUUCUGGUCUUCCUCUCAACCCCAUUAAGUUUUUCUGUAACUAGCUGGUGUAUCUGUCUCCAUCUUUAAGGAAUAAGUCCCUAUUUGCUCAUGCUAUAAUCUCCCUCAUGCUCUCCGUCCCUCCUUCCCUCUCCUUCUCUCUUUCUGUCUCUCUCUCUCUCCACCCUGAUUGUGAGAUGCUACACCUUAAUAGUUUUCUAUACCUAGAUCCCUUUUGAAGGAGUAAUUUCAGCCAUCACUGAAAUCUAUGCUUUUUUAUCUUGUUAGAUUUAUUUAGGACCUAAUGACUGUUUCUGAGCUAAUAAUAACGCAAUCAGCUCAUAUUUUUCUGAUACUCUAAGAGCAAUUACAUCUAGUUGCAUCACCUUUUCCUUUUUUAUUCAUGUAUCUUAGGCUUCUCAAGAUAUGAGACUAGCACUUGAGCCUGAGAUAAGCCUUAAGAAUUCCAGGAUAGUCUCUCCAUAGUUCCCUUUCUUGGAUAAAGUCAUUUCAAAACAUCUUAGUGGAUCAGAUUUGGAGCAGCCUACUUACACUGGUGAAUACCACAACUAAUAAAUAAUUGUUCUGCACCCCACCCACAUCUAAAGGAUUCAGGGUGUCUUUUACAGAUAUAGGACUCUCCUUUCUCUGUUUCUCUUCUCUCUCUUCUCCUUGAUUAAAGCUUUGCUUCAGCUGUCCCUGCUCACUACGGCACUGCACCUCACCAGCAUCUUCAUGGCCCUCACAUGGCUCAUGUGCAUAUCCUAACUCUGAUACUAAGGGAGGAGACCACCCCUCAUAUUGUCUUAUGCCCAAUUUCUGCCUCCAAAGAAAGAAGAAGUAAAAACUAAAAGGCAGAAAUGAAAUCCACAAGCAGACAGCCCGGCGCCACACCCUGGGCCUGGUAGUUAAAGAUCGACCCCUGACCUAAUCGGUUAUUUGCAUAAGAAAAGCACUGUGAAGAUCCCUGUCCUGUUCUGUUCCAUUCUAAUUACCGGUGUAUGCAGCCCCCAGUCAUGUACCCCUGCUUGCUCAAUCGAUCACGACCCUCUCACGUGGACCCCCUUAGAGUUGUGGGCCCUUAAAAGGGACAGGAAUUGCUCACUCGGGGAGCUUGGUUGUUGGAGAUGUGAGUCUUGCUAAAGCUCCCAGCCGAAUAAAGCCCUUCCUUCUUAA